UCAAGGUAACUUGAAUCAUAGUACAACAAUGAACCCGAGUGUUAUGUUUAUUUAUGUAUUCUCGAACUACUUAUGAGACUAUUUUUUGUAAACAUGAUCAAUCCGGUGUGUCAUUUAAAUAGAUAAAAAUCUUGUUGUUAAAUUUCCAUGUGACAUGAGUAGUAUAAAUACACUGUGUUUUUACACGGUUGAUUCAGACUUAUAUUUAAACCUUGAAGUUGUAAACAUAAUAAGGAUAUAGCCUAAGCUAACAUGGAUACUAAAUGUUUGAUGGUGCUUUUUAUGUUCUUGUAUAUUGUAUUUGUUUCAACAAUUGAGGCAGUGCACUACAUUACCAAACCAUUUCAGUUUAUUGGAUCAUGUUAUUGUAAAGGAAAGCGGGUGAUCGGACAAAAUACUGGAGAAAUGGACUGAAGAAUUGCCUUAAUUGGGAGAAAAUAAUAAGGAUACAUAAUACCAGGAAUGAACAAUUCGUGCUGAGACAAAUCGGAGAUGAAUAAUAAAUAUUCUCUGAUUCUCUGGACAUAUUAUGAUCCCGUACUGAUUGCAUGGUCAAUCGUGCGGCGAAGAAGAAAUGCAAUAACGAUAAGCUGAAAGGAGUAUUCGUGGUCAACAGUGUAUGAUUCGAUAGUUUGUUGACAAAAUUAAUGGACAUAAGCAUAGAUGUAUAUAUAAAAAAAAAAUACAUUUGCAGUAAAGAAAAUCGUAAAUAAAACAUAUCUGUAUUAAUGUUGUUAGUUGUUUUCAAUAUAUACAGCAAUUCAAUCAUAUACAAAUGCGUGGGAAGUUUUAAUGUUAUUUUUUUGGCCAAGAUAUUAAGCGUUUAACUUCCUCAUAACUGUUUUUGAUCGUGUUGACUUCUAUAACGCUUUCGUUCUAUGUAUAUUAAACAUCAAUACUUUUUUA
Molecule: long non-coding RNA, 906 nt
Organism: Mytilus trossulus (common blue mussel)
Lineage: Eukaryota; Metazoa; Mollusca; Bivalvia; Mytilida; Mytilidae
Exons: 2
Source: RefSeq, a predicted model, not a curated record